GAUGAAGAACGUAGUGAAAUGCGAUAAGUAAUGUGAAUUGCAGAAUUCAGUGAAUCAUCGAAUCUUUGAACGCACAUUGCGCCCGCCAGUAUUCUGGCGGGCAUGCCUGUUCGAGCGUCAUUUCAACCAUCAAGCCCUGCUUGCGUUGGGGUCCUGCGGCUGCCCGCAGGCCCUGAAAACCAGUGGCGGGCUCGCUAGUCACACCGAGCGCAGUAAUACAUCUCGCUUUGGGCGUGCGGCGGGUUCUUGCCGUUAAACACCCCCUUUUUACCAAGGUUGACCUCGGAUCAGGUAGGGAUACCCGCUGAACUUAAGCAUAUCAAUAAGCGGAGGA
Molecule: unclassified non-coding RNA, 334 nt
Filed under: soil metagenome
Description: partial contains 5.8S ribosomal RNA, internal transcribed spacer 2, and large subunit ribosomal RNA
Rfam family: 5.8S ribosomal RNA (bases 1-120)
Source: RNAcentral